This 1288-nucleotide long non-coding RNA is filed under the name Homo sapiens (human). RNAcentral's name for it is "HSALNT0279194". The record is from RNAcentral. Lineage: Eukaryota; Metazoa; Chordata; Mammalia; Primates; Hominidae.
CAACGGAUGAGGAGGGAGCCGUGUGUUGAAUCACAGAGAAAAUUAGUUGUUUAUGGUCAUUUACGUUGGGAAUUAUUCUUAUAAAAUCUGCCCUUGUUUCAUUUGGCUCUGAUUACAUGUUGAUGAGAUUGUGGACAACUUCGUCAAGGUGCACCAACAUGAAGCCCUUUGUUGGAAAGGGCUCAGAAGAGAGAUGGAAAUGAUUAAUGGUUGGCGAACACAAGAAUCUUAGGGCAGGGACGUUGCCGCCAAGUCUAGAGGGUCGAGCGCAAGGGAGAAAGGCUUCCAGAGAAGGAGAGCUGAGCAGUGCAGGUGGAGGCAGCAGCUAGAGCCGCAGUGCAGAGGCCAGGAGCCUGCCGUGUACCGGCUGUCUGCGACCAGCGUGGCACUGGUGAGAGAUGCAUCCAGUCGGAGCAGGGCAGGUCUCCCAAGGAGAGUGCAACACAUACUUGGAUGUCAGAGAGUCAUCCAGGCCAGACUGCAGACACCAUCCAGGCCUCUGACGCCUCCUGAGCUCAUUCCCGGAGGCACUCAGGUAUCCGCUGAAACCACCGCUCUGCAAGUCCCCACCCGUCCUCUGCAUUUGCUGUCUGGGAUUCCAAAGGAAAUGCCGCCGGCCUCCUAGGACAGCUCUCAAGCCGCCGAGUGGCUUCCUAUUGAUUGCAAAGCACGCCCAUGCUCCUCCAUCAGCCACAGAGUUGCACUUCUUCUUCCCCGAGGUAUUUCUUCAAACAAUGUUUUCAAGAGGGCAGAAGGACCUGGAGCAGGCAUGGGAAGCCCUCAGCUUUACUCAGGGAGAGGCUGCCCCCUCCGUUACAGCCCUUGCAGAGUGGACCAGCACUGCGAUGAACAAUGCCUGGCCCAUCCUUGCCCCAGCUGCCCCCAGCCGGGCUGCAUUUGCUGCAGUGGGGACUUUGAGGGUGGGGCGCUUGCGUCAAGAAAACAAUUCAAUAUAAUUUAAGAUGCAACAGAGACACAAAUAACAUCUCUUUCUCUGUCAAGACUUCGUCUAGGUACUAUUUUUGAAUGAAGCUGAGGAAUUGAAGAAAAACCUGAGAGAAAAUUCUGAAAUAUAAUAAAAUUGAACUAACAUCAAACUACCUUGGAGGCCAGAGAAGUUAAUUACAUCAACCUAGAGCUGUGCAGUCUGCAGAGACUCGGAGCUAACGUCUAUUUUUCCUUCUAGAGCAGAUUUCAGGCAGCAAAUUCAGCUGGGAAUUCUAGUGCAGGAUAAUAGUUCUUUUUUUUAUUGACCAAAUUGGGCAAAUUAAACAAAAAAUGUAUUGAG